UUACUGUGUCCCACUCUGCUCCCUCACCAUACCCCACUUACAGUGGUUGUUCUUGGUCAGUGAGGCCCCAGGGUUCAGAGGUACAUCUGUGUGAGUUCACCUCCCACUCAGGGAAGAAGACACCUGCCUUGCUCCACCAGCUGAGCACUUGCUCUGGCUGGCCACCCUGCCAGCUGAGCCUCCCACAGUCAACCUGCUUGCCACUUUUGCCGAUCGCUCCUACUGGCUACCCAUCAGUCACCUCCUGCUGCCACCUGCCUCUCUGCUGUGAUCUCUGCAGGGACCUGAGUGAGAAUUGCCAAUACUACAAACUCCAUGGAUCGUACAACAGCAUAGGAAUGACAUUUCCAAUUUACAUCAGUGCAGUGAAGAUCAGAAUCUGGUCCAGUGGGUCCAAAAGGAAUAAAAAUGGCUUCCCCACAAAUAUACCAGCUGACCUUCACAAAGAUACAAAUUCCAGUUUACAUCGCUUCAGAUGCAAGUGAGUGAGUCAGCACCCUCAGGGAAUAAUGAGGAAUUCAUUAAUACCACACAAAUGAAUGAUGUAGAGGAAGCAAUGUGUGUUUCUCUUCCCACAAAGAGAGAAAGAAAUAGAAGACAAGAGCACCAAGCAGAAACCCAAGAAUUUUGGGAAGUAAUCUGACAUGAUGGAUGGGACUUGAAUCCUUACUCUCUUGGGCUGUGUGAUCUCAUUAGCUUUCACAAACUAAGACAUGUCUGGCCUGGUCAGUACUUGGAGACCUCUAAGCAAAGCAGGGAUGCUACAUGGAAUGGGACUGAUGAUUCCUCAGGUGGCUAUCUUCACGAACAAUCAGAACCACUGAGAGCACUGUGUUGUUGAAGGUGAGGUCUUUCAGAUCAAUGUAAAAAUCAAGAUUACUCCAUUAUAGAAAUUAGAAAUGGAAAAGACAUAGUAGAGUAUUUAAUCCAUCCCCCUGUUGGUGCAGAUUAUUCCCUCUGGUCCUGUCAGUUUAGUCGUUUGUUUGUUUUUUACUAUCCCAAGUGAUGAAGACAAAAGAUUCUUCUGCACCCAUGUAGUCAUUAAAGAUCCCAUCACAUUUUCCACAAAGAUAAGGGUGUUAGACUUCCAAUUAUAGUAUGACUAUUUAAAUUCCUCCUGAAAUCACUUCAUCCUCUUCACUUUCUGUCCCAUGCUGUUGGGUAGUGCUGCUGUGAAUUGUUAAAAGGUUGUCCUGUUCCACCAGAAGAGAGGUGGCUGCAUUUAGAAUACAUAUUGCAUUUGGGAUCCUUGGGAAUGAAAAGAGCUAUAUACAUGAAGGUUUUUGUUAUCAACUGCUUAGGAUGUAAAUGUAAUUGGAAGGAAGUAGAGAAACUCUAAUAUUAAAGAGGCAAUGUGCAUAUGUAUACCUUGGGCAUGGAGAAGCACCCCUUAAAAAGUUUGCAUAAAUAUCCAGUAUAUUGUAUACUCACUCACACAUUCAUUCUUAUAGUUUAUAAAUGGAAAAUUCAUUUGGAUUUAAAAAACACACCCAGGAGAGCAGUGAAAGGUUAAAAAUUGAUUGGGAAUAAUUAAUUACUUCCUGGUUUUCUUUUAGUUAAAACUGAAAAAAUAAAGGAAAAUUUAAAAUGUAAAUAUAUUCUUAAAAUACUUUACAAUUGUUUGUGUAAUUGUUAAACGAUUGAUAUACUUAUUUUGGGGGGGUAACAAACCAUUGGAUAUAACUGAAAAUAGUUUGUGGGGUUAUCCUCAUUUUUAUUAUUCUUUAUGUUAGAUUUCCAUAAACCACAAGAUAUAGCCUUAUAUUUGUUUUCUUGCCAUAAAAAUUUUGCAUUGAACUCUGAAAAGCCCCUAAUAGUUAAGAAUACUGUACUCCAUACAUAUUGACAUCUAUGGCUAAUAUUAUAAUGCAUAAAGAUGUCUUGUAAAUUAUAGUCAAACAUCUUUCUCAUUCACAAGGAUGAAUUAGAUCCAGUACAUAAUGCCGAAGUCUUGAAAUGGAUGGAUUUAAUGAUGAUCAAAUACUGUGUGGAAUUUUGUACAAAAUCCCCAUUUCCCAGAAAUUAAGGGAUUUCUUCAGAUCAUGUGAUCUAGAUUAACCAUUCUGCUUAAUCCAGUCAUAAUACUCCACUGCUUUAUUGCCUUUAUAACAUGUUGACUU
Mauremys mutica (yellowpond turtle) is the source of this 2120-nucleotide long non-coding RNA. RefSeq lists it as uncharacterized. The transcript is spliced from 3 exons. NCBI's taxonomy places the organism in Eukaryota, Metazoa, Chordata, Testudines, Geoemydidae. The record is from RefSeq and is a predicted model, not a curated record.